UUUAAAGUCUGACCUGCCCACUGAAUUGAAAAAAUUUGAAGGGCCGCGGUAUUUUGACCGUGCAAAGGUAGCAUAAUCAUUAGUCUUUUAAUUGAAGGCUGGAAUGAAUGGUUGGACGAGGUAUUGACUGUCUCAAUGUAAAUGAAAGUAGAAUUUAUCUUUUAAGUCAAAAGACUUAAAUAGUAUUAGAGGACGAGAAGACCCUAUAGAGCUUUAUAUUUAAAGAUUAUUAUUUAUUUGGAAGUAUUUUUAUAAUAGUGAUAUAAGUAUUUUGUUGGGGUGACAGGAAGAUAUAAUAAACUCUUUUUAGUUUAAUUACAUUUAUUUAUGAAUUGAUGAUCCAUUAUUAGUGAUUACAAGACUAAGUUACCUUAGGGAUAACAGCGUAAUCUUUUUCGAGAGUNCUUAUCG
RNAcentral lists this ribosomal RNA (411 nucleotides) under Allocapnia recta (eastern snowfly). RNAcentral's name for it is "partial 16S ribosomal RNA". It matches the Rfam family "Archaeal large subunit ribosomal RNA", at positions 1938 to 2576 of the family's 2987-position model. Lineage: Eukaryota; Metazoa; Arthropoda; Insecta; Plecoptera; Capniidae. The record is from RNAcentral.